UUCUUUGGUUAUUUAGCUAUAUGAAUAAUAAGAUAUUUUUUCAUAAGCUGAACGAUCAAAGGAA
RNAcentral lists this microRNA precursor (64 nucleotides) under Strongyloides ratti. Its description in RNAcentral is "pre miRNA Sra-mir-9.2". It matches the Rfam family "mir-9/mir-79 microRNA precursor family", at positions 1 to 62 of the family's 78-position model. Rfam says of the family: The mature ~21nt miRNAs are processed from hairpin precursor sequences represented here. miR-9 is processed from the 5' arm of its precursor, and miR-79 from the 3' arm. The bounds of the precursors are predicted based on conservation and base pairing and are not generally known. Lineage: Eukaryota; Metazoa; Nematoda; Chromadorea; Rhabditida; Strongyloididae. The record is from RNAcentral.